Long non-coding RNA from Physella acuta, 269 nucleotides. RefSeq lists it as uncharacterized. Lineage: Eukaryota; Metazoa; Mollusca; Gastropoda; Physidae. The record is from RefSeq and is a predicted model, not a curated record.
GUUCAGAAAAACGAUUGAGAGCAAUUAUUUGCGAUUAACAUUUGAAGGGGAUAUGUGUAAAGUUGGUCCGCCACCAAGUUCCGAAAACGGAAGUACAACUUCAGCUAAUAUAGUGGGGAAAGGUACAGAAAAACUUAACGCGCACACUAAAACUGACACCUUCGACAAUCCGUACUUCCAUUGUGUUUUUGUUGUCAACGGAAACCUGCGAACAAAAGAGUCCGUAAACAGGAAGUUGUUAGAGGGGACACCGGUCAUUGUACUGAAGG